Molecule: long non-coding RNA, 1252 nt
Filed under: Sus scrofa (pig)
Lineage: Eukaryota; Metazoa; Chordata; Mammalia; Artiodactyla; Suidae
Description: lncRNA (ENSSSCG00005008595.1)
Source: RNAcentral
UAGUGGGGUGGGGCCUCUGCCCCACGGGGACGCUGGGGGUCCCCAGCUCUUGUGACCUGGCCAGAUCCACAUGCAGCCUCUAGCUCGCCCCGGGGUAGGAGGGGAGAGGAAGGCCCAGAGCGGCCGGAGCGUCCAUCCCUCCACCCACACACCGGGACGGUGCCCGGGCGCCGGAGCUCUGAGCGCCCUGAGCCGGGAAGACAGACGCAGCGGUGACGUGGGGGAAGCAGACACCAGGCCUCCUCACAGCCUCCCCGGCCGCCUCCAGGCCCUGAAAUCACUCCGUCGUCAGCCUGCCUCUGCUCAUGGGCACACGAUUCGGUGCCGCGGUCAGACUCUGGCAGGUUAAACUUGCAGCCCGGUCCAGGGGCCUCUGACAUGAAAAUCUGCUUUCCUGUCACAGUCUCAUCGUCGUGGCCACCUGCUGAAACCGUGAAAACUUAUUUCUAAGAAGAAGGCUCAUAAAGCAAAUUACAGGUGGAGACUUGACCCUGUAUUUUGACCUUCAGGUGAUUCUCACAAAAAAGCUUAGAUGAACUUUUCCUUAAAACGUCCUCGUGGAAAAUCAUGGGCUUGGAGAACAGACUUGGGGUUGCUGAGGGGGAGGGGGAGGGAGUGGGGUGGACUGGGAGUCUGGGGUUAAGAGAUGCAAACCAUGGCCUUUGGAAAGGACAAGCCAUGAGACCCUGCUGUGCAGCACUAGGAGCUCUACCCAUCACUUACGAUGGAGCCUGACGACGUGAGAAAAAAGAAUGUCUACGUGUAUGUGUGACCAGGUCACCUUGCUGCGCAGUGGAAAAUUGACAGAACACUGUAAACCAGCCAUCAUGGAAAAAAUAAAAAUCAUUAUUAAAAAAAAUCCCCAUGGACUGUAAAGUUCACGGAGAGGGUUUUGGGCCAAGCUCGCCCGGAGGAAGGCCAAACCCAGAGCCUAAGAAGCAGCCUUGAGAGGUGAAGAGCCCCAUGGUGGCGGAAAGCCCUGACCAGCCCGCCCUGCGAGGACGCGGACCGGGAAUGUCCUGUUUUAUUGUCCUCGGAACACCUCCCUGGGCGCCUUGCAGGGCCUGGUGAGAGGGGCGGGGUGUUCUCUGCGUGUUUCCAGGAUACCCUGGAAACGCUGUGAAGCUAAUUACAGCCCUGGCUUGGAGACCCCGCGCAGGGCGGCGAGCUACCCCAGGGCGGCUUUCCCCAGCCCACGUGGACAGGUGUCCUCGUCACAGCUGAAUCGUCUCCUCCGCUGCCUCGACCCUGG